GGGCCUGCAGGGCCUCAGCUCUUCUUACCAGGUAAGGCAUGUCCGCCUGUGACUCAAGUAGGGCUGUGCUCUUUAACCUGGAACUCAGUUUCCCCCAAACAAGACUCACGCUCCAGAGAGAAUGCCUAUCUAUUCGGAGAAGGUUGUGGUUGAGAUGCUGCCAGGUUCAGGAGCUGCCCCUGUCCUGUUUUCCCCCAGACCCAGAUCCCCAGAGAGGUGGCCCUGGACCUGGAGUCAGGAGGCGGUGUCCAGGAGAGUCGCUCAUCAACCCCGGGUUCAAGAGUAAGAAACCAGCUGGUGGCGUGGACUUCGAUGAGACCUGAAGGUGCAGCACAAGCGUGGCCCCGCGGGGAGUCCGCCUGUGAGGGGAGAGGCAGUCUUUGAGGCCCCCAUCAGAGACCCCCCGCCACCACCUCCACCUGCCUGUCCUGGGCCAGGACUAAGACGGCUCCUCAAAUUCCUUCCCUGUCAAAUAAACAGCUCCCUUGGUUGGAG
This 495-nucleotide small RNA is filed under the name Pan troglodytes (chimpanzee). RNAcentral's name for it is "retained intron". Lineage: Eukaryota; Metazoa; Chordata; Mammalia; Primates; Hominidae. The record is from RNAcentral.